UAAAAGUUUGAUUCUUUCUUAAAUCUUUACGGUUUUUAUUAAAAUUGUAUGGAAGCUGUUGCGUGUAAUUUUUUUAUGGGAGUUUAAAAUUUCCUAUUUAGUUUUUUAUAAAGUAAUAAAUUUAUAAAGGAUAAAGUCCCAGCAUAUAGUAUUAAAUAAUAUAUUAUCGUGUGAUUUAGUAAUAAUUUAAAAUCUGAUUAAGUAUUGUGCCAGCAUUCGCGGUUAGACUUUAAGGUUAAGUGAAGAUAUAUCAGCUUUUAGUUAAACAUAUUUGAAAGUUAUAAGUUGAAUUUAAGAAAGUAAAAAGUGAAAUUGGAUUGUUUUUUUUAAAUGGUAAGUUGUUAACUUAAGUUGAAGCUAAAGAUUUUUAGGUUUAAACUAGGAUUAGAUACCCUAUUAUACUAGAGAAUAAUUUUUAUUUGUGGCUUGAUUAUUAUUAGAUAUAGUCUUUAAAUUUAAAGAAUUUGGCGGUGGUUUAGUCUUGUCAGAGGAACCUGUUUUUUAAUCGAUAAUCCACGUAAAAUCUUACUUGUUUUUGUUUAGUUUGUAUACCGUCAUUAGCAGAUAAUUCUAAGAGGAAUAAUUAUUAUAGUCAAAUAUUGAGUUGGUAAAAUUAGAUCGAGGUGCAGCUUAUAGACAAGUCAAAAUGGGUUACAAUAAAGUUUGUUUAUAAUGGAAUAUAUAGAGAAAUUUGAAUAUAAAGGAGGAUUUGAUUGUAAUGUGGGUUUAAUAAGCCUACGAGAUAUAAGCUCUAAAUCAUGUACAUAUCGCCCGUCGCUUUCAUUAUAUAGAUGAGAUAAGUCGUAACAUAGUAGGUUUACUGGAAAGUGAACCUAGAUUAA
RNAcentral lists this non-coding RNA (842 nucleotides) under Austinograea alayseae. The record is from RNAcentral. Lineage: Eukaryota; Metazoa; Arthropoda; Malacostraca; Decapoda; Bythograeidae.